RNAcentral lists this ribosomal RNA (1439 nucleotides) under uncultured bacterium. Its description in RNAcentral is "bacterial SSU rRNA". It matches the Rfam family "Bacterial small subunit ribosomal RNA". The record is from RNAcentral.
GCUUAACACAUGCAAGUCGAGGGGCAGCAUGGUCUUAGCUUGCUAAGGCCGAUGGCGACCGGCGCACGGGUGAGUAACACGUAUCCAACCUGCCGUCUACUCUUGGACAGCCUUCUGAAAGGAAGAUUAAUACAAGAUGGCAUCAUGAGUCCGCAUGUUCACAUGAUUAAAGGUAUUCCGGUAGACGAUGGGGAUGCGUUCCAUUAGAUAGUAGGCGGGGUAACGGCCCACCUAGUCUUCGAUGGAUAGGGGUUCUGAGAGGAAGGUCCCCCACAUUGGAACUGAGACACGGUCCAAACUCCUACGGGGGGCAGCAGUGAGGAAUAUUGGUCAAUGGGCGAGAGCCUGAACCAGCCAAGUAGCGUGAAGGAUGACUGCCCUAUGGGUUGUAAACUUCUUUUAUAAAGGAAUAAAGUCGGGUAUGGAUACCCGUUUGCAUGUACUUUAUGAAUAAGGAUCGGCUAACUCCGUGCCAGCAGCCGCGGUAAUACGGAGGAUCCGAGCGUUAUCCGGAUUUAUUGGGUUUAAAGGGAGCGUAGAUGGAUGUUUAAGUCAGUUGUGAAAGUUUGCGGCUCAACCGUAAAAUUGCAGUUGAUACUGGAUAUCUUGAGUGCAGUUGAGGCAGGCGGAAUUCGUGGUGUAGCGGUGAAAUGCUUAGAUAUCACGAAGAACUCCGAUUGCGAAGGCAGCCUGCUAAGCUGCAACUGACAUUGAGGCUCGAAAGUGUGGGUAUCAAACAGGAUUAGAUACCCUGGUAGUCCACACGGUAAACGAUGAAUACUCGCUGUUUGCGAUAUACUGCAAGCGGCCAAGCGAAAGCGUUAAGUAUUCCACCUGGGGAGUACGCCGGCAACGGUGAAACUCAAAGGAAUUGACGGGGGCCCGCACAAGCGGAGGAACAUGUGGUUUAAUUCGAUGAUACGCGAGGAACCUUACCCGGGCUUAAAUUGCAGAUGAAUUACGGUGAAAGCCGUAAGCCGCAAGGCAUCUGUGAAGGUGCUGCAUGGUUGUCGUCAGCUCGUGCCGUGAGGUGUCGGCUUAAGUGCCAUAACGAGCGCAACCCUUGUUGUCAGUUACUAACAGGUUCCGCUGAGGACUCUGACAAGACUGCCAUCGUAAGAUGUGAGGAAGGUGGGGAUGACGUCAAAUCAGCACGGCCCUUACGUCCGGGGCUACACACGUGUUACAAUGGGGGGUACAGAGGGCCGCUACCACGCGAGUGGAUGCCAAUCCCCAAAACCUCUCUCAGUUCGGACUGGAGUCUGCAACCCGACUCCACGAAGCUGGAUUCGCUAGUAAUCGCGCAUCAGCCACGGCGCGGUGAAUACGUUCCCGGGCCUUGUACACACCGCCCGUCAAGCCAUGGGAGCCGGGGGUACCUGAAGUGCGUAACCGCGAGGAGCGCCCUAGGGUAAAACUGGUGACUGGGGCUAAGUCGU